RNAcentral lists this ribosomal RNA (561 nucleotides) under uncultured bacterium. RNAcentral describes it as "bacterial SSU rRNA". It matches the Rfam family "Archaeal small subunit ribosomal RNA", at positions 725 to 1280 of the family's 1478-position model. The record is from RNAcentral.
AGUGAAUAGAUACCCGGGUAGUCCUAGCCGUAAACGAUACUCGCUAGGUGUCGGCCACGGUGCGACCGUUGUCGGUGCCGUAGGGAAAGCCGUGAAGCGAGCCACCUGGGAAGUACGGCCGCAAGGCUGAAACUUAAAGGAAUUGGCGGGGGAGCACCACAACGGGUGGAGCUUGCGGUUUAAUUGGAUUCAACGCCGGAAAUCUUACCGGGACCGACAGCAAUAUGAAGGCCAGGCUGAAGACUUUGCCGGAUUAGCUGAGAGGUGGUGCAUGGCCGUCGUCAGUUCGUACUGUGAAAGCAUCCUGUUAAGUCAGGCAACGAGCGAGACCCACGCCCACAGUUGCCAGCGUACUCUCUGGAGUGACGGGUACACUGUGGGGACCGCCGCUGCUAAAGCGGAGGAAGGAAUGGGGCAACGGUAGGUCAGUAUGCCCCGAAUAUCCCGGGCUACACGCGAGCUACAAUGGUUGGUACAAUGGGUAUCUACCCCGAAAGGGGACGGGAAUCUCCUAAAACCAAUCUUAGUUCGGAUUGAGGGGCUGCAACUCGCCCUCAUGAA